This 252-nucleotide ribosomal RNA is filed under the name uncultured bacterium. RNAcentral's name for it is "partial 16S ribosomal RNA". It matches the Rfam family "Bacterial small subunit ribosomal RNA", at positions 525 to 776 of the family's 1533-position model. The record is from RNAcentral.
ACGGAGGGUGCAAGCGUUACUCGGAAUCACUGGGCGUAAAGGAUGCGUAGGCGGAAGAUCAAGUCAAAAGUGAAAUCCCACGGCUCAACCGUGGAACUGCUUUCGAAACUGGUUUUCUAGAAUAUGGGAGAGGUAGAUGGAAUUAGUGGUGUAGGGGUAAAAUCCGUAGAUAUCACUAGGAAUACCGAUUGCGAAGGCGAUCUACUGGAACAUAAUUGACGCUGAGGCAUGAAAGCGUGGGGAGCAAACAGG